UUUAUUUAUUUGCAAUUUUCCAAAAAAAAAAAAUAUUUAAAAAAAAAUGUUUUUCAAAUUUAAAAUUUCUGUAUCGAUCUCUCGAUUCGAGUUCGAUACUUUUUUCAAUGCUCUGAAAAUCGAUCAUUUUGGGCAUAGUUCAGUUGUCUUCUGCUUCUCCUCGUUUUUGUUUGUGAUGAGGUUAUGUGCUAAGCGUAUUAUCGUGCCGAUUUCAUCGACAAUAAAGGAUCAAACGCUAAUAUACUAAAAAGUGGAAUUAGGAUUCAAAGUAAUGACCCACCAGUGAAGGCAUUUUCCAAAAUUCCAAAAAUUCCCAGCGAAACUG
Molecule: long non-coding RNA, 325 nt
Organism: Leptopilina heterotoma
Lineage: Eukaryota; Metazoa; Arthropoda; Insecta; Hymenoptera; Figitidae
Exons: 2
Source: RefSeq, a predicted model, not a curated record